GGGAUUGCCCUAGUAACGGCGAGUGAAGCGGCAACAGCUCAAAUUUGAAAUCUGGCGCAAGCCCGAGUUGUAAUUUGUAGAGGAUGCUUCUAGGUAGCGACCGGUCUAAGUUCCUUGGAACAGGACGUCAUAGAGGGUGAGAAUCCCGUAUGUGACCGGCCCGCACCUUCUACGUAGCUCCUUCGACGAGUCGAGUUGUUUGGGAAUGCAGCUCUAAAUGGGAGGUAAAUUUCUUCUAAAGCUAAAUACCGGCCAGAGACCGAUAGCGCACAAGUAGAGUGAUCGAAAGAUGAAAAGCACUUUGGAAAGAGAGUUAAAAAGCACGUGAAAUUGUUGAAAGGGAAGCGCUUACAACCAGACUUCUGGGCGGUGUUCCGCCGGUCUUCUGACCGGUCUACUCACCGUCCCGAGGCCAACAUCAUCUGGGACCGCCGGAUAAGACCUUAGGAAUGUAGCUCCCCUCGGGGAGUGUUAUAGCCUGUGGUGAUGCGGCGCGUCUCGGGUGAGGUCCGCGCUUCGGCAAGGAUGUUGGCGUAAUGGUUGUCAGCGGCCCGUCUUGAAACACGGACCAAGGAGUCUAACAUCUAUGCGAGUGUUCGGGUGUCAAACCCCUACGCGUAAUGAAAGUGAACGGAGGUGGGAAGGGUAACCUGCACCAUCGACCGAUCCUGAUGUCCUCGGAUGGAUUUGAGUAAGAGCAUAGCUGUUGGGACCCGAAAGAUGGUGAACUAUGCCUGAAUAGGGUGAAGCCAGAGGAAACUCUGGUGGAGGCUCGCAGCGGUUCUGACGUGCAAAUCGAUCGUCAAAUUUGGGUAUAGGGGCG
RNAcentral lists this ribosomal RNA (823 nucleotides) under Ramularia eucalypti. Its description in RNAcentral is "eukaryotic LSU rRNA". It matches the Rfam family "Eukaryotic large subunit ribosomal RNA", at positions 71 to 925 of the family's 3401-position model. The record is from RNAcentral. Lineage: Eukaryota; Fungi; Ascomycota; Dothideomycetes; Mycosphaerellales; Mycosphaerellaceae.